RNAcentral lists this unclassified non-coding RNA (501 nucleotides) under Hevea brasiliensis (rubber tree). Lineage: Eukaryota; Viridiplantae; Streptophyta; Magnoliopsida; Malpighiales; Euphorbiaceae. The record is from RNAcentral.
CCCGACGACAGCAACUCUUGCUCACCAAUAAUGGGUUUGAAUUGUUCUGAAUUAUCCACAUUAUCAAGAAUAAUGAUAACUUUCCUGCAACACAUAGCAUCCUUGAUCUUCAUAACUCCCUCAUCUACAUUAUNUACAUCAUAUAUCUUUACUGAUUCCCGCUUGUGGAUAUCUGAAAGAAGCUGUUCUUGUAAGCUAUUCAUACCUUUUGGCUGUUCUGAUGUUUCUGCAACGUCCGCAAGAAAGCAGCUCCUUUCAAACUUGUCAGAGUUCUGGUUAUAAACAGUCUUUGCAAUGGUGGUCUUUCCAACCCCACCAAUCCCGUAAAGUACCAAUAUCCUAACAUUUGUCGACUCAUCUUGCAACCACUGAUUAAUCCGGCCUACAUAAUCAUCUAUUCCUGUUAAGUAGGAACCCACAUGCAGAAGCUUGCGAUCCAAUUUAUUCGCAACGAGCUUGACAAUGUUUUGAAUGAACGGUGCCUCGUACUGGUCUUUUAAA